CCUACGGGUGGCAGCAGUGAGGAAUAUUGGUCAAUGGCCGGAAGGCUGAACCAGCCAAGUCGCGUGAGGGACGACUGCCCUAUGGGUUGUAAACCUCUUUUAUAAGGGAAGAAUAAAUGCUACGUGUAGCAUGAUGCCUGUACCUUAUGAAUAAGCAUCGGCUAACUCCGUGCCAGCAGCCGCGGUAAUACGGAGGAUGCGAGCGUUAUCCGGAUUUAUUGGGUUUAAAGGGUGCGUAGGCGGUUUUUUAAGUUAGUGGUUAAACGUCGGGGCUUCACCUUGAUUUGCCAUUAAUACUGUAAGACUCGAGUUCAGACGAGGUAGGCGGAAUAAGUUAAGUAGCGGUGAAAUGCUUAGAUAUUACACAGAACGCCGAUUGCGAAGGCAGCUUGCUAGGCCGGAUCUGACACUGAUGCACGAAAGCGUGGGGAUCGAACAGGAUUAGAUACCCCUGUAGUC
RNAcentral lists this ribosomal RNA (459 nucleotides) under uncultured bacterium. Its description in RNAcentral is "partial 16S ribosomal RNA". It matches the Rfam family "Bacterial small subunit ribosomal RNA", at positions 338 to 795 of the family's 1533-position model. The record is from RNAcentral.